RNAcentral lists this ribosomal RNA (501 nucleotides) under Lupinus angustifolius (narrow-leaved blue lupine). Its description in RNAcentral is "rRNA LSU_rRNA_eukarya". It matches the Rfam family "Eukaryotic large subunit ribosomal RNA", at positions 1891 to 2388 of the family's 3401-position model. Lineage: Eukaryota; Viridiplantae; Streptophyta; Magnoliopsida; Fabales; Fabaceae. The record is from RNAcentral.
UGGAACAAUGUAGGCAAGGGAAGUUUUCAAAAUGGAUCUGUAACCUUGAGAAAAGGAUUGGCUCUGAGGGAUGGGCAUGAAGGUCCCAGUCCCUAACCCGUCGGCUGUCGGUGGACUGCUCAAGAUGCUCUUAUGGCGAGAGUGGGUCGCUGCGUGCCGGUCGGGGGACGGAUUGGGAAUGGGCCCUUCGGGGCCUCUUCCCCAGACAUCAAACAGUCGACUCAAAACUGGUACAGACAAGGGGAAUCUGACUGUUUAAUAAAAACAAAGCAUUGCGAUGGUUCGUGACGAUGUGGAUGCAAUGUGAUUUCUGCCCAGUGCUCUAAAUGUCAAAGUGAAGAAAUUCAACUAAGCGUGGGUAAACGGCAGGAGUAACUAUGACUCUCUUAAAGUAGCCAAAUGACUCGUCAACUAAUUAGUGAUGCGCAUGAAUGGAGUAACGAUAUUCCCAUUGUCCCUAUCUACUAUCCAGCGAAACCGCAGCCAAGGGAACGGGCUUGG